CUGCGGGUAGCUCAGUUGGUAGAGCGCAUGUAAUUACCGGCUGUUCGACCACUUGCCCGAGUCGGGCCGAUGAGCGGUCGUUAUCUCUGGGACAUGAUGUCGCUGGUUCAAGUCCAGCCCCGCAGA
RNAcentral lists this transfer RNA (126 nucleotides) under Gammaproteobacteria bacterium. RNAcentral's name for it is "tRNA-OTHER". It matches the Rfam family "tRNA". From Rfam's summary of the family: Transfer RNA (tRNA) molecules are approximately 80 nucleotides in length. Their secondary structure includes four short double-helical elements and three loops (D, anti-codon, and T loops). The record is from RNAcentral. Lineage: Bacteria; Pseudomonadati; Pseudomonadota; Gammaproteobacteria.